Molecule: unclassified non-coding RNA, 297 nt
Filed under: Cosmospora sp.
Lineage: Eukaryota; Fungi; Ascomycota; Sordariomycetes; Hypocreales; Nectriaceae
Description: partial contains 5.8S ribosomal RNA, internal transcribed spacer 2, and large subunit ribosomal RNA
Rfam family: 5.8S ribosomal RNA (bases 1-71)
Source: RNAcentral
GUGAGUCAUCGAAUCUUUGAACGCACAUUGCGCCCGCCAGUAUUCUGGCGGGCAUGCCUGUUCGAGCGUCAUUUCAACCCUCAAGCCCCCGGGCUUGGCGUUGGGGAUCGGCCGCCCUCCCCCGGGCGUGCCGGCUCCGAAAUCUAGUGGCGGUCUCGCUGUAGCCUCCUCUGCGUAGUAGCACAUCUCGCACCGGAACGCGGCCUGGCCACGCCGUCUAAACCCCCCACUUCUGAAGGUUGACCUCGGAUCAGGUAGGAAUACCCGCUGAACUUAAGCAUAUCAAUAAGCGGAGGA